Molecule: ribosomal RNA, 482 nt
Filed under: uncultured bacterium
Lineage: Bacteria
Description: bacterial SSU rRNA
Rfam family: Bacterial small subunit ribosomal RNA
Source: RNAcentral
UUGAACGCUGGCGGCAUGCUUUACACAUGCAAGUCGAACGGCAGCGGGGGCUUCGGCCUGCCGGCGAGUGGCGAACGGGUGAGUAAUGCAUCGGAACGUACCCAGUCGUGGGGGAUAACUACGCGAAAGCGUAGCUAAUACCGCAUACGCCCUGAGGGGGAAAGCGGGGGACCUUCGGGCCUCGCGCGAUUGGAGCGGCUGAUGUCGGAUUAGCUAGUUGGUGGGGUAAAGGCCUACCAAGGCGACGAUCCGUAGCUGGUCUGAGAGGAUGAUCAGCCACACUGGGACUGAGACACGGCCCAGACUCCUACGGGAGGCAGCAGUGGGGAAUUUUGGACAAUGGGCGCAAGCCUGAUCCAGCCAUUCCGCGUGAGUGAAGAAGGCCUUCGGGUUGUAAAGCUCUUUCAGCCGGAACGAAACGGUACGCUCUAACAUAGCGUGCUAAUGACGGUACCGGCAGAAGAAGCACCGGCUAACUACGU